Mauremys reevesii (Reeves's turtle) is the source of this 838-nucleotide long non-coding RNA. RefSeq lists it as uncharacterized. NCBI's taxonomy places the organism in Eukaryota, Metazoa, Chordata, Testudines, Geoemydidae. The record is from RefSeq and is a predicted model, not a curated record. The transcript is spliced from 3 exons.
UACACCCACUAACUUCUAAAAGGUUUACUACAACCCACAAUGACCGUUUACUUUGGCUGAGCACUUUGCCCGUCGCGGCGCAAUGCUUGCUGGGAACUGUAGUACGCUGCGUCCCUUAUCGCGGGAGGACAGUGCGGUGUAAAAGGGGACCGUCAACUACACGUCCCAGUUCUCCCCGGGCAGGCGGCCGCGGCUGUUUAGACGCUGAAGAGCUGCACCCGCGUCUAACUGUCGCGGAUACCGGUGGAUUUACACAGCCAUAGGCGGCAGUGUGAACUCGAAGAAAAUGAAGACUCUGCAAUGAGUUAUUGCAUCCCCACACCUUUCCAUCUUCCUUAGCAUGGUUUGCUGCAGCUUCUUAGAAUGGACUCUUCAGCGCUCAGGGCUUAUCUACAUUGGGAAAUAGCCCAGAACAGCGAUUCCUCAACCGCUAUUCUGCAUGAGCUUUCUGUGUGGACACUCCUGUUCUACACUAAGAAUACCUUUUUGCGGGUUAGCUUAAUUUCACAUCCUAGCUAAUUUUGCAGUGUCUUCCCUGUGUAGACAAGCCCUUAGACACUGUAGUGCUGGGUGCUAUGGUAAAGCCUCACACAGAGAUAUUAAGUGCUUCCAGAGUGGCAAGACCUUUGGCAAUCACAUAUCAGAUUUCUUAUAGAUGAUUCCUCCUCCCAGCUCCUUUGCAGUGCAGAAUGAUAAAACAAUUUUCUAAAGAAAUAAUUAGAAUACUUCAUAGCUUGUAUACAAUGCUUUUCAUCCAUAGCUAUCAAAGCCCCUUACAAUGAAAAGGAGGAAUAAUUGUCCUCAUUUUACAGUUAACUGAUAUCAUAAAUAAAAAAUA